GAUAUGGCUCAGGAUGAACGCUAGCUACAGGCUUAACACAUGCAAGUCGAGGGGCAUCAGGAAGAAGGCUUGCUUUCUUUGCUGGCGACCGGCGCACGGGUGAGUAACACGUAUCCAACCUACCCUUUACUCGGGGAUAGCCUUUCGAAAGAAAGAUUAAUACCCGAUGGCAUAAUGAUUCCGCAUGGUUUCAUUAUUAAAGGAUUCCGGUAAAAGGAGUGGGGAUGUCCGUUACCUAGUUUAGGUUUGUUGGUGAGGUACG
This 262-nucleotide ribosomal RNA is filed under the name uncultured bacterium. RNAcentral describes it as "partial 16S ribosomal RNA". It matches the Rfam family "Bacterial small subunit ribosomal RNA", at positions 15 to 261 of the family's 1533-position model. The record is from RNAcentral.